This 77-nucleotide microRNA precursor is filed under the name Podarcis lilfordi (Lilford's wall lizard). Lineage: Eukaryota; Metazoa; Chordata; Lepidosauria; Squamata; Lacertidae. The record is from RNAcentral.
UGUGCAUAAAAAUGCAUAUACAGGUGUGUGUGUGUACCAAAAACACACACACCUGUAUAUGCAUUUUUAUGCACACU